Molecule: long non-coding RNA, 202 nt
Organism: Aplysia californica (California sea hare)
Lineage: Eukaryota; Metazoa; Mollusca; Gastropoda; Aplysiida; Aplysiidae
Exons: 2
Source: RefSeq, a predicted model, not a curated record
UUAUUUGUGUUGCAAAUGCUGUAAAACUCUAACCAAAACUCUAUUACUGUCCCCAGUGCUACCCUCCCGAGAGCCUGAAGAAGGACCAUGCGGCUGUGCUGGUGUGUUGUGGGCCGGGGAAUAACGGCGGGGACGGGCUGGUGUGUGCUCGGCAUCUCAAGUUGUUUGGCUACAAGCCGACGCUGUUCUAUCCCAAGCAAAA